Molecule: ribosomal RNA, 518 nt
Filed under: uncultured bacterium
Lineage: Bacteria
Description: bacterial SSU rRNA
Rfam family: Bacterial small subunit ribosomal RNA
Source: RNAcentral
AGAGUUGAUUAUGGCUCAGGAUGAACGCUAGCUACAGGCUUAACACAUGCAAGUCGAGGGGUAGCAGGGUCUAGCAAUAGAUCGCUGACGACCGGCGCACGGGUGAGUAACACGUAUCCAACCUUCCGUUUACUCGGGGAUAGCCUUUCGAAAGAAAGAUUAAUACCCGAUAGUAUGCUUUUCCCGCAUGGGAGAAUCGUUAAAGUUUUUCGGUAAUCGAUGGGGAUGCGUUCCAUUAGGCAGUUGGUGAGGUAACGGCUCACCAAACCUUCGAUGGAUAGGGGUUCUGAGAGGAAGGUCCCCCACAUUGGAACUGAGACACGGUCCAAACUCCUACGGGAGGCAGCAGUGAGGAAUAUUGGUCAAUGGACGAGAGUCUGAACCAGCCAAGUAGCGUGAAGGAUGACUGCCCUAGUGGGUUAGUAAACUUUCUUUUAUAGUGGGAAUAAAGGAGCCUACGUGUAGGUUUUGUAUGUACCAUACGAAUAAGGAUCGGCUAACUCCGUGCCAGCAGCCGC